This 230-nucleotide ribosomal RNA is filed under the name uncultured bacterium. RNAcentral describes it as "partial 16S ribosomal RNA". It matches the Rfam family "Bacterial small subunit ribosomal RNA", at positions 563 to 791 of the family's 1533-position model. The record is from RNAcentral.
AAGGGAGCGUAGGCGGCUGAUUAAGUCAGCGGUGAAAGGUAGCAGCUUAACUGUUUUACAUGCCGUUGAUACUGGUUAGCUUGAGUUGACAGAAGGCAGAUAGAAUUCCUGGUGUAGCGGUGAAAUGCUUAGAUACCAGGAGGAAUACCGAUUGCGAAGGCAGUCUGCUGCAGUCACACUGACGCUGAGGCUCGAAGGUGCGGGGAUCAAACAGGAUUAGAUACCCUUGU